UGAGCAAGACCUGCUGUUGCCGCCGAGCCUGCGCCAAUGGUUGGAUGAAGACCACUUGGUGUACUUCGUCAGCGAUGUCGUGGACCAGUUGGAUCUGUCGGCGAUCCACGCGGUGUACGAGCAGGAGAAGCGAGGGCAACCGCCGUACGAUCCGCGCCUGAUGACGAAAUUAUUGGUAUACGGCUACUGCACGGGAGUGUUCAGUUCGCGUCGGAUUCAGAAGCGGUUGCAGGAGGACAUCCCCUUCAAGGUGUUGGCGGCGGGCAACCAGCCGGACUUCCGGACCAUCUCGGACUUUCGCAAGAUCCACAUCGAAACGCUACAGAACCUGUUCGAGCAGGUCUUGGCGAUGGCGCUGGAGUGCGGGUCGAUCAAACUGGG
Molecule: unclassified non-coding RNA, 381 nt
Filed under: uncultured bacterium
Lineage: Bacteria
Description: contains 16S-23S intergenic spacer region
Source: RNAcentral